Molecule: ribosomal RNA, 376 nt
Filed under: uncultured bacterium
Lineage: Bacteria
Description: bacterial SSU rRNA
Rfam family: Bacterial small subunit ribosomal RNA
Source: RNAcentral
GACAGAGGUGGCGAGCGUUGUUCGGAUUUAUUGGGCGUAAAGCGAACGCAGGUGGUUUGGUAAGUCAGAGGUGAAAGUCCACAGCUUAACUGUGGCACUGCCUUUGAUACUGCCUUUCUUGAGUAGAGUAGGGGGAAGCGGAAUUCCGAGUGUAGAGGUGAAAUUCGUAGAUAUUCGGAGGAACACCGGUGGCGAAGGCGGCUUCCUGGACUCUAACUGACACUCAUGUUCGAAAGCGUGGGGAGCAAACAGGAUUAGAUACCCUGGUAGUCCACGCCCUAAACGAUGGGCACUAGGUGUGGGAGGUAUCGACCCCUUCCGUGCCGCAGCUAACGCAUUAAGUGCCCCGCCUGGGGAGUACGGCCGCAAGGUUGAA